RNAcentral lists this ribosomal RNA (1538 nucleotides) under Klebsiella pneumoniae. RNAcentral's name for it is "bacterial SSU rRNA". It matches the Rfam family "Bacterial small subunit ribosomal RNA". Lineage: Bacteria; Pseudomonadati; Pseudomonadota; Gammaproteobacteria; Enterobacterales; Enterobacteriaceae. The record is from RNAcentral.
AAAUUGAAGAGUUUGAUCAUGGCUCAGAUUGAACGCUGGCGGCAGGCCUAACACAUGCAAGUCGAGCGGUAGCACAGAGAGCUUGCUCUCGGGUGACGAGCGGCGGACGGGUGAGUAAUGUCUGGGAAACUGCCUGAUGGAGGGGGAUAACUACUGGAAACGGUAGCUAAUACCGCAUAAUGUCGCAAGACCAAAGUGGGGGACCUUCGGGCCUCAUGCCAUCAGAUGUGCCCAGAUGGGAUUAGCUAGUAGGUGGGGUAACGGCUCACCUAGGCGACGAUCCCUAGCUGGUCUGAGAGGAUGACCAGCCACACUGGAACUGAGACACGGUCCAGACUCCUACGGGAGGCAGCAGUGGGGAAUAUUGCACAAUGGGCGCAAGCCUGAUGCAGCCAUGCCGCGUGUGUGAAGAAGGCCUUCGGGUUGUAAAGCACUUUCAGCGGGGAGGAAGGCGUUAAGGUUAAUAACCUUGGCGAUUGACGUUACCCGCAGAAGAAGCACCGGCUAACUCCGUGCCAGCAGCCGCGGUAAUACGGAGGGUGCAAGCGUUAAUCGGAAUUACUGGGCGUAAAGCGCACGCAGGCGGUCUGUCAAGUCGGAUGUGAAAUCCCCGGGCUCAACCUGGGAACUGCAUUCGAAACUGGCAGGCUAGAGUCUUGUAGAGGGGGUAGAAUUCCAGGUGUAGCGGUGAAAUGCGUAGAGAUCUGGAGGAAUACCGGUGGCGAAGGCGGCCCCUGGACAAAGACUGACGCUCAGGUGCGAAAGCGUGGGGAGCAAACAGGAUUAGAUACCCUGGUAGUCCACGCCGUAAACGAUGUCGAUUUGGAGGUUGUGCCCUUGAGGCGUGGCUUCCGGAGCUAACGCGUUAAAUCGACCGCCUGGGGAGUACGGCCGCAAGGUUAAAACUCAAAUGAAUUGACGGGGGCCCGCACAAGCGGUGGAGCAUGUGGUUUAAUUCGAUGCAACGCGAAGAACCUUACCUGGUCUUGACAUCCACAGAACUUUCCAGAGAUGGAUUGGUGCCUUCGGGAACUGUGAGACAGGUGCUGCAUGGCUGUCGUCAGCUCGUGUUGUGAAAUGUUGGGUUAAGUCCCGCAACGAGCGCAACCCUUAUCCUUUGUUGCCAGCGGUUAGGCCGGGAACUCAAAGGAGACUGCCAGUGAUAAACUGGAGGAAGGUGGGGAUGACGUCAAGUCAUCAUGGCCCUUACGACCAGGGCUACACACGUGCUACAAUGGCAUAUACAAAGAGAAGCGACCUCGCGAGAGCAAGCGGACCUCAUAAAGUAUGUCGUAGUCCGGAUUGGAGUCUGCAACUCGACUCCAUGAAGUCGGAAUCGCUAGUAAUCGUAGAUCAGAAUGCUACGGUGAAUACGUUCCCGGGCCUUGUACACACCGCCCGUCACACCAUGGGAGUGGGUUGCAAAAGAAGUAGGUAGCUUAACCUUCGGGAGGGCGCUUACCACUUUGUGAUUCAUGACUGGGGUGAAGUCGUAACAAGGUAACCGUAGGGGAACCUGCGGUUGGAUCACCUCCUUA